AAAAAGGUCCUUUUCAGGACCACUCCUCAACAUUAUUUCAAUCAAU
Molecule: non-coding RNA, 46 nt
Organism: Phlebotomus papatasi
Lineage: Eukaryota; Metazoa; Arthropoda; Insecta; Diptera; Psychodidae
Source: Rfam